GAUCCUGGCUCAGGAUGAACGCUGGCGGCGUGCUUAACACAUGCAAGUCGAACGGACUUGGAUGUCGGAAGUUUUCGGAUGGAAGAUAUUCAAGUUAGUGGCGGACGGGUGAGUAACGCGUGGGUAACCUGCCCUGUACCGGGGGAUAACACUUAGAAAUAGGUGCUAAUACCGCAUAAGUGCACAGAGUCGCAUGACUUAGUGUAAAAAACUCCGGUGGUAUAAGAUGGACCCGCGUCUGAUUAGCUUGUUGGUGAGAUAACGGCCCACCAAGGCGACGAUCAGUAGCCGGCCUGAGAGGGUGAACGGCCACAUUGGGACUGAGACACGGCCCAAACUCCUACGGGAGGCAGCAGUGGGGAAUAUUGCACAAUGGGGGAAACCCUGAUGCAGCGACGCCGCGUGAGUGAUGAAGUAUUUCGGUAUGUAAAACUCUAUCAGCAGGGAAGAUAAUGACGGUACCUGACUAAGAAGCACCGGCUAAAUACGUG
Molecule: ribosomal RNA, 491 nt
Filed under: uncultured bacterium
Lineage: Bacteria
Description: bacterial SSU rRNA
Rfam family: Bacterial small subunit ribosomal RNA
Source: RNAcentral